GCUGGGCGUGGUGGCGCAUGCCUGUAAUCCCAGCUACUUAGGAGGCUGAGGCAGGAGAAUUGCUUGAACUAGGGAAUUGGAGGUUGCAGUGAGCUGAGAUCAUGCCACUGCACUCCAGCCUGGUGACAGAGUGAGACUCUGUCUCAA
This 147-nucleotide non-coding RNA is filed under the name Gorilla gorilla gorilla (western lowland gorilla). The record is from Rfam by way of RNAcentral. Lineage: Eukaryota; Metazoa; Chordata; Mammalia; Primates; Hominidae.